CCUACGGGAGGCAGCAGUGGGGAAUAUUGGACAAUGGGGGGAACCCUGAUCCAGCCAUGCCGCGUGUGUGAAGAAGGCCCUCGGGUUGUAAAGCACUUUCAGUGAGGAAGAACGCCUGAUGGUUAAUACCCAUCAGGAAAGACAUCACUCACAGAAGAAGCACCGGCUAACUCCGUGCCAGCAGCCGCGGUAAUACGGAGGGUGCGAGCGUUAAUCGGAAUUACUGGGCGUAAAGCGCGCGUAGGUGGCUUGAUAAGCCGGUUGUGAAAGCCCCGGGCUCAACCUGGGAACGGCAUCCGGAACUGUCAAGCUAGAGUGCAGGAGAGGAAGGUAGAAUUCCCGGUGUAGCGGUGAAAUGCGUAGAGAUCGGGAGGAAUACCAGUGGCGAAGGCGGCCUUCUGGACUGACACUGACACUGAGGUGCGAAAGCGUGGGUAGCAAACAGGAUUAGAUACCCCAGUAGUC
RNAcentral lists this ribosomal RNA (465 nucleotides) under Vreelandella stevensii. RNAcentral describes it as "partial 16S ribosomal RNA". It matches the Rfam family "Bacterial small subunit ribosomal RNA", at positions 338 to 795 of the family's 1533-position model. The record is from RNAcentral. Lineage: Bacteria; Pseudomonadati; Pseudomonadota; Gammaproteobacteria; Oceanospirillales; Halomonadaceae.